Long non-coding RNA from Daphnia pulicaria, 986 nucleotides. RefSeq lists it as uncharacterized. The record is from RefSeq and is a predicted model, not a curated record. Lineage: Eukaryota; Metazoa; Arthropoda; Branchiopoda; Diplostraca; Daphniidae. The transcript has 4 exons.
AACUGUUUAUUGUUUCACCCACACUUGACUCUCUACACUUUCAUGUGGAAAGAAAGUUUCUUUUUACACAUACCUCAGUAAGUCCAACACAGAAACGUUAUUCAUGUUAUUGUUAUUAUUAGGUUCCCUCUUGAAUUUACAGUUUCUUAGAGGUGAUCUUCAACUUAUCUCUACACAGAAUUUAGAGAAUUCAUCAAGUGAUGUGUGUUUCAAUUAUUUUGGAAAAUUUCUAAUUUCAGAUUUUGUCAGACUGAAUGAAAAUCUCCUUCCGAGUAAAAGAACAACACUGUUUAAUGAGGAUUUUUUGUUUGUAAAUCGUUGGCUGCUGUAAACUCUGGUUUUAGUUCCUUGUUGUUUCUUGAUUUGAGGUUAAUCCCUCAAAGCUGUUUUGUGGACUGGUUUCUUACAGCACUAUUUGUUGCGUCACUGAGAUCGCGAGUAGGCCGCCUACGUCAACAAUCUAAAACGCAGUGUGUUUAUUGGAAUUGUGUGGUCCUGGCACGGUGAUCCUUGAGCCAAUACUCGCCUUCGUCCAUGACAGAAGAGUGACUUAACUACGACCUGUAACUACGGCCUGUAACUACCCAACACGAGGUCGCUGGGCAUUCGCAGUCAAGAGGAACUAUGCAACCUUCCACGGCAGUUGCAGACCCCCAAGAUCUCCUGGUCGUUCCUUGAGCCCGAUUAAAGGCAAGUCCCUGUCAGGGUUGUUAAUAUCGGUAGCGCGUAAAGUGACACCUAAUAGAAGAUAUUCGUACUCUUUACUGUGUUGAUGAUGGAGAAAAAGUCGAACACUCGUUAUGGUUACUUAACUUUAGAUUGUCAAGUUAAAUUUAGAGUUCAACCUGCAGACGGUUUGCAUGUCCUUCACGCUUGAAGGUCGCGGGGAACAUUACGUAAAUCUGUCAAUGCGGUGGUGUAGAGGUUGGGUGAGAACUGGACGUGUUGCAUCAUUAUCAAGCAGACCCAUCCCCAACUACGUCAAC